RNAcentral lists this ribosomal RNA (258 nucleotides) under uncultured Glomus. RNAcentral describes it as "partial 18S ribosomal RNA". It matches the Rfam family "Eukaryotic small subunit ribosomal RNA", at positions 624 to 886 of the family's 1831-position model. Lineage: Eukaryota; Fungi; Glomeromycota; Glomeromycetes; Glomerales; Glomeraceae. The record is from RNAcentral.
AAGCUCGUAGUUGAAUUUCGGGGUUAGUAGGUUGGUCAUGCCUCCGGUAUGUACUGGUCUCACUGAUUCCUCCUUCCUGAUGAACCGUAAUGCCAUUAAUUUGGUGUUGCGGGGAAUUUGGACUGUUACUUUGAAAAAAUUAGAGUGUUUAAAGCAAGCUAACGCUUGAAUACAUUAGCAUGGAAUAAUGAAAUAGGACGUUCGAUCCUAUUUUGUUGGUUUCUAGGAUUGACGUAAUGAUUAAUAGGGAUAGUUGGG